Molecule: long non-coding RNA, 735 nt
Organism: Zalophus californianus (California sea lion)
Lineage: Eukaryota; Metazoa; Chordata; Mammalia; Carnivora; Otariidae
Exons: 5
Source: RefSeq, a predicted model, not a curated record
GCGCUAGCCCAGCCUGGUCCCGCAGUCCCCGGGCUGCUCCCAGGCCCAGCAGCAGUUGAGCUACCUCCACCGCCCCUUCUCGGGCCGCGAGGAACAGGGGCGUCUGCUCCUAUGCCGGAAGAAAUAGCCAGGGGGGCGAGGGAACCAGCUCCCGGUCUAACCCUGCUGUCUUGGGCGUCUUUAUCGGCUCCGGCCUGGAGAAGGGAGCGGGCGGCCCGGGCGUUGUUCACGGCGGCGGCCCAGUGCAGCGCGGUUUUUCCUAGAAGACGACGUGGGUGGUUGUUACUCUGAGGAAAGAGUCCCCUUCUUGAGUCCCUUUCCUCCUCACUCUUACUUGAGGCCAAUGCUGUCUUCACCCAGGGGAGGCCGGCGUCUGCGGGGAGCUGGCUGAGUUCGAGGCCUUCUAAUGAACCCAGGGGGCAGCCAGAGGGCCCCGUGCUCUCGGCGCCGCCUCCGGAUGAGCUGAAGGACGAGAAGAGCCCCAAGGGCCAGGAGAAGCACCCCGGCCACUGAAAAGGCAAACGAUUCCUGGAAAUACUGAGUGACUUGCACAAGUUGGUGGCAGAGCUUGGAUUCAGUAAUGAAAUCUCCGUGAGAACAGACGUGCUCGUGCGCCUGGGUGGCUCAGUCAGUUAAGCGGUUAAGCGUCUGCCUUCAGCUCGGGUCAUGAUCCUGUCCUGGGAUUGAGGCCUGUGUUGGGCUCCACCCGCGUUGGGCUCCCUGCUCAGUGGGGAG